This is a non-coding RNA of Trichobilharzia regenti, 46 nucleotides long. The record is from Rfam. Lineage: Eukaryota; Metazoa; Platyhelminthes; Trematoda; Strigeidida; Schistosomatidae.
GUACUGAUGAAGAGUCCCAAACUAGGAUGAAACAGCUGUCCAGUAU